AUGGCCAUGGCCACCUUCGCUGCCACUCCCGCGCUCCUCUCCCCCCCGCCCCCCUACACCACGGCCCCUCCACCCCGCGGGCGCCCGCCCCGCCCGCCUCUCCGUCUCGGCCUCCGGCUCCCGCGCCGCCGCCCCGUCACCACCACCACUCCGGCCGCAGCCCACGCCGCGAGCUCCCUCUCGUCCGCCCGCGGCGACCCGCGCGAGGCGGAGGCGGCGGUGGCGGAACUGCUGCGGGACAACGGCGCGUCGCCGGAGGACGCGGCCGCCAUCGCGGCGCGCGCGCCGGGGUACGCCGCCAUGCUGGCCGACGGCGUCAGGGAGCUCGACGAGCUCGGGCUCUGGGCGUCCUGGAGCGCCGGGGCGGGCGCGCGCGCCGGCGCCGAGAUGGGCGCGCUCGGGUUCGGCAGGAAGGUGUACUUCAUGGGGCGGAGCCGGCGCGACGGCGCCGUCGUCCCGCUCGUCGAGAGCCUCGGCGUGCGCCUCUCCUCCGCCAAGCUCAUCGCGCCCUACGUCGCCGCCGAGGGUCUCCCGGUGCUCAUCCGCAGGGUUAAGUUCUUCAAGGAAAUGCUGUUUUCAAGCAGUGGCUAUGAAACUCUAAUCGGAUGGAAUGCUAAGCGCAUGAUAGCGCACUUUUCAAUACCCGCAGAUGAGGCACUCCAGAGUACGCUGUCAUUUUUCGAAAAGAUGGAGGCCAGACAUGGUGGUCUGAGCAUGUUGGCACAUGGGGAUGUGUCAUUUCCCUAUCUCAUCAAAUCAUUUCCAAUGCUUCUUCUCUGCUCAGAGGACAAACAUCUUAAGGCAUUAAUUGAUUUCCUUGAACACGUUGGAGUUCCCAAGCCGAGGAUUCCAUCAGUUCUGCUGGCAUUUCCUCCUAUUAUUCUUUCUGAUGUCGAAAAGGAUAUCAAGCCAAGGAUUCAUGCAUGGGAGAAGGCUGGCAUAGAACAAGAAUAUAUUGGUCGGAUGUUGUUGAAGUAUCCAUGGAUUCUUUCAGCAAGUGUGAUAGAAAACUACAAGCAGACGCUUUUGUUCUUCAACAGAAGAAAGAUUUCCAGUGCAUUUCUUGGUACCGCUGUCAAAAGUUGGCCUCACAUUCUGGGUUGUUCAACAACAAGAAUGAACUCAAUUCUGGUGCUGUUUGAUGAUCUGGGCAUCAGUAAGAAAAUGUUAGUGCCUGUUCUUACAUCAAGUCCACAGUUGCUGCUGAGAAAACCUAAUGAGUUUUUGCAGAUUGUUUCCUUUUCCAAAGAUAUGGGUUUCGAUAAGAAAGCAGUGGGAAAGAUUGUCUGUCGUUCUCCAGAAAUUUUUGCUUCAGAUUUGGAGAAUACCCUCAAAAAGAAAAUCGACUUUCUUAUUGACUUUGGUAUUUCCGAGCGUCACCUUCCCCGUAUCAUUAAGAAGUACCCAGAGCUUUUAUUGUUGGACAUAAAUCGCACACUGCUCCCCAGAAUGAAUUACUUUCUGGGGAAGGGCUUGUCUAAGAAAGAUGUCUGCUCAAUGAUCUCUAGAUUCUCCCCACUUCUGGGGUACAGUAUUGAGCAUGUUCUGAAACCAAAGCUUGAUUUUCUGUUACAAACCAUGAAGAAACCACUUAAAGCGGUUGUGGAAUAUCCAAGGUACUUCAGCUAUUCUCUGGAGGGGAGGAUAAAGCCACGGUUUUGGAUAAUCAAGAGUAGACAUAUAGACUGCAGUCUGACUGACAUGUUUGGCAAAAACAAUGAACUUUUUGCUGAAGAGUACCUGGGAAUAGAAACAUGACCUGUGACACUUUCUCCACAAUCAAUCAAAGGUGGUUAAUUUCUGGGUUUCGAUCAUGAGCAGACUCUGUUCCUGUGCCUGAUUAUACAGCUUUAUGAUUCCAUCUGGAUCUGGGGAGGCUGUUUUACAGAUGGGAAGCCACUUGUCGAGUCUUCAACAUUCAGAAGGUCUUAUAUGAUAAAAUCUGGAUUGCAACUGAAAAAAGAAUAAGUAUGCUCUCUAACUUUGCAUGAAUAGUUGAGUACCAGCACGGAUUAUUGGAUGGCCACGGCAAUUUUCAGACCUAGUCCGUUGAGAUAUCCCCUUGAGACCAGAUUGAGGAACUGGAGGCCAACCCUCGAGACCAUUGACGACAGAGACCAACUGCAGAAAUAUUACCUCUGAGAGCUGAUCCCCAUUCUUUGUCUGUUUCUGUGCAUAUGUGAAGCUGCACCUCCAUGUAUCAGCAAGCUAAGAGCGCCCGCGUCAACAGCAAAGCCCAACUUCCAUUGUGCUUGAAACUGCCUGCUGCUAUGUGUUUUGGCACGGGGAGAGUCCUUGGGGAGAAGAAGCUUCUCACAUCCGGUGCUGCUCCAACUGACAGGAGCAGGAACACCGCUCUGUUGCUGCAUUGGAUUGAUACGCGCUCCUCUUCGAGGCGUAAGAAGCCAGAAGAGGCGAAGAUUGCGAGGUCGAUUACCCUGAGGAUGCCUUUAAAAGAAAAAUCAGUGUCACCCUUUUGUACUUACUGUAUACAUGAACGUGCACUGUAAUUGGAUUUUGUUAUAGGUAAGUGCUGUAGAUUAGAUUUCACUGAGUUUUUGCUUGCUGUACUCCGUACCAUAUUAAUUGUCGCUCAAACGGAUAUGUAUUAGUUAUCAUAGCUUGUGCAUCACCAAACUUUCGUUGAGU
Molecule: ribosomal RNA, 2649 nt
Filed under: Triticum aestivum (bread wheat)
Lineage: Eukaryota; Viridiplantae; Streptophyta; Magnoliopsida; Poales; Poaceae
Description: partial small subunit ribosomal RNA
Source: RNAcentral